GACGUAGGGUGCAAGCGUUGUCCGGAUUUAUUGGGCGUAAAGAGCUCGUAGGCGGCUUGUUGCGUCGACUGUGAAAACCCGCGGCUUAACUGCGGGCUUGCAGUCGAUACGGGCAGGCUAGAGUGCGGUAGGGGAGAUUGGAAUUCCUGGUGUAGCGGUGGAAUGCGCAGAUAUCAGGAGGAACAACAAUGGCGAAGGCAGAUCUCUGGGCCGUAACUGACGCUGAGGAGCGAAAGCAUGGGGAGCGAACAGG
RNAcentral lists this ribosomal RNA (253 nucleotides) under uncultured bacterium. Its description in RNAcentral is "partial 16S ribosomal RNA". It matches the Rfam family "Bacterial small subunit ribosomal RNA", at positions 524 to 776 of the family's 1533-position model. The record is from RNAcentral.